This 67-nucleotide transfer RNA is filed under the name Marmota monax (woodchuck). RNAcentral's name for it is "tRNA.Ala". The record is from RNAcentral. Lineage: Eukaryota; Metazoa; Chordata; Mammalia; Rodentia; Sciuridae.
GGAUUGUGGCUCAGUGGUAGAGUGCUCCCCUAGCACGGGUGGUACCUGGGUUCGAUCAUCAGCACCA